This 433-nucleotide ribosomal RNA is filed under the name uncultured bacterium. RNAcentral describes it as "partial 16S ribosomal RNA". It matches the Rfam family "Bacterial small subunit ribosomal RNA", at positions 29 to 507 of the family's 1533-position model. The record is from RNAcentral.
AACGAACGCUGGCGGCAUGCCUAAUACAUGCAAGUCGAACGAGAUCUUCGGAUCUAUUUGCGCACGUGUGCGUAACGCGGGGGAAUCUGCCCUUGGGUUCGGAAUAACUUCUGGAAACGGAAGCUAAUACCGGAUGAUGACGUAAGUCCAAAGAUUUAUCGCCCAAGGAUGAGCCCGCGUAGGAUUAGGUAGUUGGUGAGGUAAAGGCUCACCAAGCCGACGAUCCUUAGCUGGUCUGAGAGGAUGAUCAGCCACACUGGGACUGAGACACGGACCAGACUCCUACGGGAGGGAGCAGUAGGGAAUAUUGGACAAUGGGCGAAAGCCUGAUCAAGCAAUGCCGCGUGAGUGAUGAAGGCCUUAGGGUUGUAAAGCUCUUUUACCCGGAAUGAUAAUGACAGUACCGGGAGAAUAAGCUCCGGCUAACUCCGUG